This 472-nucleotide ribosomal RNA is filed under the name uncultured bacterium. RNAcentral describes it as "partial 16S ribosomal RNA". It matches the Rfam family "Bacterial small subunit ribosomal RNA", at positions 28 to 507 of the family's 1533-position model. The record is from RNAcentral.
GAUGAACGCUGGCGGCGUGCCUAAUACAUGCAAGUCGAGCGAACAGACGAGGAGCUUGCUCCUCUGACGUUAUCGGCGGACGGGUGAGUAACACGUGGAUAACCUACCUAUAAGACUGGGAUAACUUCGGGAAACCGGAGCUAAUACCGGAUAAUAUAUUGAACCGCAUGGUUCAAUAGUGAAAGACGAUUUUGCGUUCACUUAUAGAUGGAUCCGCGCCGGAUUAGCUAGUUGGUAAGGUAACAGCUUACCAAGGCAACGAUCCAUAGCCGACCUGAGAGGAUGAGCGGCCACACGGGGACUGAGACACGGCACAGACUCCUACGGGAGGCAGCAGUGGGGAAUAUUGGACAAUGGGCGAAAGCCUGAUCCAGCAAUGCCGCGUGAGUGAUGAAGGCCUUAGGGUUGUAAAGCCCUUUUACCCGGGAUGAUAAUGACAGUACCGGGAGAAUAAGCUCCGGCUAACUCCGUG